AUUGAACGCUGGCGGCAGGCCUAACACAUGCAAGUCGAGCGGAUGAAGGGAGCUUGCUCCUGGAUUCAGCGGCGGACGGGUGAGUAAUGCCUAGGAAUCUGCCUGGUAGUGGGGGAUAACGUCCGGAAACGGGCGCUAAUACCGCAUACGUCCUGAGGGAGAAAGUGGGGGAUCUUCGGACCUCACGCUAUCAGAUGAGCCUAGGUCGGAUUAGCUGGUUGGUGGGGUAAAGGCCUACCAAGGCGACGAUCCGUAACUGGUCUGAGAGGAUGAUCAGCCACACUGGAACGGAGACACGGUCCAGACUCCUACGGGAGGCAGCAGUGGGGAAUAUUGGACAAUGGGCGAAAGCCUGAUCCAGCCAUGCCGCGUGUGUGAAGAAGGUCUUCGGAUUGUAAAGCACUUUAAGUUGGGAGGAAGGGCAGUAAGUUAAUACCUUGCUGUUUUGACGUUACCAACAGAAUAAGCACCGGCUAACUUCGUG
This 484-nucleotide ribosomal RNA is filed under the name uncultured bacterium. RNAcentral describes it as "partial 16S ribosomal RNA". It matches the Rfam family "Bacterial small subunit ribosomal RNA", at positions 30 to 507 of the family's 1533-position model. The record is from RNAcentral.